UCCCAAGAACAAAACCAGCCACCCACCUCUCUCUCUCCGCAAGAACAGAGCUUGGCCGCCGCUGCCUCGAUCUGCCCCAUCCGGGCAUCUCCGGCGGCACCGUGGACACCUACAGAUUCUCCUCGUCUCCCUCUACCAUUUCCUCCUAUUUAUUUUAUCCGCCGCCGCCAAAAACGUCGCCACCACUCAAUCCUAGCGCCACCUGAUUCAGGUCCGGUGGGCUUGCCAUCGGCUGGAGUGGCAACAACGUCUCCAUGCCUACAUCCUCCCCCAGCGCAGCCACACACACGAGGCAUGCAGCCACGGGCGUCGGGCGUGUGCGGCUUCACCGGCGCUGCUCGGUCGCAUGGCUCUGCUGCUAACGGUGUGGACUAGCCACAUCCUACUACUACUACUGCAAGGUAAAUAGAUCAAGGUGAAUAGAUGUUCAUGGACUGAUUCAAACCGAGAUGAAGAUAGAUAAGAAGUCAAGCAAAAAGGGUAACACAACAAGGUACUUGAUUAGUACCUGGUGGAGCAUGCAACCCAAAGGGCUUCACCGCAGUGAAGGACAGAAGUGUGGCAGAAGGUGAAAAGGCAAGUGGUGGGGGUACUCCAGUGUAUGUGUGUGUGAGGUGGAAUGAACCAUAGUGAAAGGAAAGGCUCCUAUUUGUAGAUGGGUUAGUAGCCAUGUCGGUUUGGAGAUGCAUUACAUCUGGCAUGCAUGCGUGUUUAGGCUUGCAUGCAUGCCUCCACUUGUGUCUUUUGUAGGCUGUACUAGGGACAAGUGUAAUUUGCUUGGCUGGCCAUUAGUUGGCACUUACUUUAUGUGAAAAAAAUGAGACCAA
Triticum dicoccoides is the source of this 827-nucleotide long non-coding RNA. RefSeq lists it as uncharacterized. Lineage: Eukaryota; Viridiplantae; Streptophyta; Magnoliopsida; Poales; Poaceae. The transcript is spliced from 2 exons. The record is from RefSeq and is a predicted model, not a curated record.